CAGUUGUUGAUACGCGCUUAUAAAGAGCAAAGAGUCAUAGACCAAGAACAGGCAACAUUGUAGUUUGUGACGUUUCCAGUCCUUGAAGCAGAUUUUCUUAAUCUCAAUCUCAUGUGCCUGUUUCCCCACUCUACUCCCAGAAACCAAGAAGCCUAUAAAACCCAAGAAAGAGAGUAGUCUAACCAGCGCCCCCUACUGGAGAAUGGGAACAUGAUGCCUACUAGAGGUGUCUGAACUAUGUCCCUCAACAGAAGACCACAAUGAAGAAAACCAACUGUUUCACUGGAAGACUAGAGGCUGGUCUUUGCAGAGUGUAGAGAUGUGUACUGAAGUUAUAAAGAAUGAAGCCAAGCAUUCAGCACUUACCACACAGUCUUUUAAGGUCAACCCUGGAGUAAGAGGGAUUUCACUCCCUAAAGUGAGGAGUGAAAUCUGAGAAACCCACCUCAAGGCAGCUUCCCGGGAUGAGAAAAGUGAAGUGAGUACUUCCACAACUCUAGGUGAUGUCGCACAGCCCCACAUGGCCUUACUGUGAGCAAGAGACACAGAAAGCAGGAGAUGCAUGGUACCAGAGCUGGAACUGCGCUGUAUUGCUUCCCUUCAUGAUGGUGAGCAAGCGAACGGAAACAAAGCUGGGUGAGAUGGGCCAUUAAGCACCGCACUCAGAACCUGAGCUGCUGUAAUGUCACAAAGGCGAGGUGCUGCGCCUUUGGUGCACACACUGCCAAGGGAGGCACUAGUGUUGCCACAGUAAUGGUAAUAAAGUGC
RNAcentral lists this long non-coding RNA (768 nucleotides) under Mus spicilegus (steppe mouse). Its description in RNAcentral is "lncRNA (ENSMSIG00000008072.1)". The record is from RNAcentral. Lineage: Eukaryota; Metazoa; Chordata; Mammalia; Rodentia; Muridae.